CAUACGCGUGUAGCGCGCGCUGACAGAGCGCGGAGCGCACGCAAUCCUCUUUCCCAAACCGCACCACGCCCACCAUUUCAUCUUCGACGAAGCGAUCGAGCGCGUCGGCCAGUCCUGACGUUACGCCGGCAGGCAAAUCGCACUGCGUAAUGUCGCCGUUCACAAUCACCGUGACGUUUUCACCCAGGCGGGUU
Molecule: non-coding RNA, 194 nt
Organism: Pantoea sp. PSNIH2
Lineage: Bacteria; Pseudomonadati; Pseudomonadota; Gammaproteobacteria; Enterobacterales; Erwiniaceae
Source: Rfam